This 253-nucleotide ribosomal RNA is filed under the name uncultured bacterium. Its description in RNAcentral is "partial 16S ribosomal RNA". It matches the Rfam family "Bacterial small subunit ribosomal RNA", at positions 524 to 776 of the family's 1533-position model. The record is from RNAcentral.
UACAGAGGUCUCAAGCGUUGUUCGGAAUCACUGGGCGUAAAGGGUGUGUAGGUGGCGCGCUAAGUCGGGUGUGAAAUUUCGGAGCUUAACUCCGAAACUGCAUUCGAUACUGGCGUGCUUGAGGACUGGAGAGGAGACUGGAAUUCAUGGUGUAGCAGUGAAAUGCGUAGAGAUCAUGAGGAAGACCAGUGGCGAAGGCGGGUCUCUGGACAGUUCCUGACACUGAGACACGAAGGCCAGGGGAGCAAACGGG